AACGAACGCUGGCGGCGUGCCUAACACAUGCAAGUCGUGCGAGAAAGUUCCUUCGGGAGCGAGUAAAGCGGCGCACGGGUGAGUAACACGUAGGUAACCUGCCCCCCAGUCUGGAACAACUAGAGGAAACUCUAGCUAAUGCCGGAUGAGACCACGAUCCCUUCGGGGGUUGCGGCCAAAGAUGGCCUCUACUUGUAAGCUAUCGCUGAGGGAUGGGCCUGCGGGCCAUUAGCUUGUUGGUGAGGUAACGGCUCACCAAGGCUGUGAUGGCUAGCUGGUCUGAGAGGAUGACCACGCCACACGUGGGACUGAGACA
This 316-nucleotide ribosomal RNA is filed under the name uncultured bacterium. Its description in RNAcentral is "bacterial SSU rRNA". It matches the Rfam family "Bacterial small subunit ribosomal RNA", at positions 29 to 326 of the family's 1533-position model. The record is from RNAcentral.